CCCUUUUGUGAACAUACCUAUCGUUGCUUCGGCGGACUCGCCCCAGCGUCCGGCCGGCCCCGCGCCGGCCGCGGCCUGGAUCCAGGCGGCCGCCGGAGACCCCCAAACUCUGUAUUCUCAGUAUCUUCUGAAUCCGCCGCAAGGCAAAACAAAUGAAUCAAAACUUUCAACAACGGAUCUCUUGGUUCUGGCAUCGAUGAAGAACGCAGCGAAAUGCGAUAAGUAAUGUGAAUUGCAGAAUUCAGUGAAUCAUCGAAUCUUUGAACGCACAUUGCGCCCGCCAGCAUUCUGGCGGGCAUGCCUGUUCGAGCGUCAUUUCAACCCUCGACUUCCCUUUGGGGAAAUCGGCGUUGGGGACCGGCCGUAUACCGCCGGCCCCGAAAUGAAGUGGCGGCCCGUCCGCGGCGACCUCUGCGUAGUAAUCCAACUCGCACCGGAACCCCGACGUGGCCACGCCGUAAAACCCCCGACUUCUGAACGU
This 481-nucleotide ribosomal RNA is filed under the name Isaria sp. GL5-3. RNAcentral's name for it is "eukaryotic LSU rRNA". The stretch from base 162 to 315 matches the Rfam family "5.8S ribosomal RNA". Lineage: Eukaryota; Fungi; Ascomycota; Sordariomycetes; Hypocreales; Cordycipitaceae. The record is from RNAcentral.